GUAUUUAAUCUAAAAAAGACUUCUGAUUUCGACCCAGAAAAUUUUGGUUAAUUCCAAAAAUACU
RNAcentral lists this transfer RNA (64 nucleotides) under Chioglossa lusitanica. RNAcentral describes it as "tRNA-Arg". Lineage: Eukaryota; Metazoa; Chordata; Amphibia; Caudata; Salamandridae. The record is from RNAcentral.